This 301-nucleotide ribosomal RNA is filed under the name uncultured bacterium. RNAcentral describes it as "partial 16S ribosomal RNA". It matches the Rfam family "Bacterial small subunit ribosomal RNA", at positions 509 to 807 of the family's 1533-position model. The record is from RNAcentral.
CAGCCGCCACGGUAAUACGAAGGGGGCUAGCGUUGCUCGGAAUGACUGGGCGUAAAGGGCGCGUAGGCGGCGAUCAAAGUCAGGCGUGAAAUUCCUGGGCUCAACCUGGGGGCUGCGCUUGAUACUUGGUUGCUUGAGUGGGGAAGAGGGUCGUGGAAUUCCCAGUGUAGAGGUGAAAUUCGUAGAUAUUCGGCGGAACACCAGUGGCGAAGGCGACUCACUGGCCCGAUACUGACGCUGAGGCGCGAAAGCGUGGGGAGCAAACAGGAUUAGAUACCCCCGUAGUCCCUGUCUCUUAUAC